Molecule: ribosomal RNA, 782 nt
Filed under: Escherichia coli
Lineage: Bacteria; Pseudomonadati; Pseudomonadota; Gammaproteobacteria; Enterobacterales; Enterobacteriaceae
Description: bacterial SSU rRNA
Rfam family: Bacterial small subunit ribosomal RNA
Source: RNAcentral
AAAUUGAAGAGUUUGAUCAUGGCUCAGAUUGAACGCUGGCGGCAGGCCUAACACAUGCAAGUCGAACGGUAACAGGAAGAAGCUUGCUUCUUUGCUGACGAGUGGCGGACGGGUGAGUAAUGUCUGGGAAACUGCCUGAUGGAGGGGGAUAACUACUGGAAACGGUAGCUAAUACCGCAUAACGUCGCAAGACCAAAGAGGGGGACCUUCGGGCCUCUUGCCAUCGGAUGUGCCCAGAUGGGAUUAGCUAGUAGGUGGGGUAACGGCUCACCUAGGCGACGAUCCCUAGCUGGUCUGAGAGGAUGACCAGCCACACUGGAACUGAGACACGGUCCAGACUCCUACGGGAGGCAGCAGUGGGGAAUAUUGCACAAUGGGCGCAAGCCUGAUGCAGCCAUGCCGCGUGUAUGAAGAAGGCCUUCGGGUUGUAAAGUACUUUCAGCGGGGAGGAAGGGAGUAAAGUUAAUACCUUUGCUCAUUGACGUUACCCGCAGAAGAAGCACCGGCUAACUCCGUGCCAGCAGCCGCGGUAAUACGGAGGGUGCAAGCGUUAAUCGGAAUUACUGGGCGUAAAGCGCACGCAGGCGGUUUGUUAAGUCAGAUGUGAAAUCCCCGGGCUCAACCUGGGAACUGCAUCUGAUACUGGCAAGCUUGAGUCUCGUAGAGGGGGGUAGAAUUCCAGGUGUAGCGGUGAAAUGCGUAGAGAUCUGGAGGAAUACCGGUGGCGAAGGCGGCCCCCUGGACGAAGACUGACGCUCAGGUGCGAAAGCGUGGGGAGCAAA